UACGAAGGGGGCUAGCGUUGCUCGGAAUUACUGGGCGUAAAGGGUGUGUAGGCGGAUAGUUUAGUCAGAGGUGAAAGCCCAGGGCUCAACCCUGGAAUUGCCUUUGAUACUGGCUAUCUUGAGUUCGGGAGAGGUAAGCGGAACUCCGAGUGUAGAGGUGAAAUUCGUAGAUAUUCGGAAGAACACCAGUGGCGAAGGCGGCUUACUGGCCCGAUACUGACGCUGAGACACGAAAGCGUGGGGAGCAAACAGG
This 253-nucleotide ribosomal RNA is filed under the name uncultured bacterium. RNAcentral's name for it is "partial 16S ribosomal RNA". It matches the Rfam family "Bacterial small subunit ribosomal RNA", at positions 524 to 776 of the family's 1533-position model. The record is from RNAcentral.